This 253-nucleotide ribosomal RNA is filed under the name uncultured bacterium. RNAcentral describes it as "partial 16S ribosomal RNA". It matches the Rfam family "Bacterial small subunit ribosomal RNA", at positions 524 to 776 of the family's 1533-position model. The record is from RNAcentral.
UACGGAGGGUGCGAGCGUUGUCCGGAAUCACUGGGCGUAAAGGGCGCGUAGGUGGCCCGUUAAGUGGCUGGUGAAAUCCCGCGGCUCAACUGCGGGGCUGCCGGUCAGACUGGCGAGCUAGAGCACGGUAGGGGCAGAUGGAAUUCCCGGUGUAGCGGUGGAAUGCGUAGAGAUCGGGAAGAAUACCAGUGGCGAAGGCGUUCUGCUGGGCCGUUGCUGACACUGAGACGCGAAAGCGUGGGGAGCAAACAGG